CAGCCGCCGCGGUAAAACGUAGGUGGCAAGCGUUGUCCGGAAUUAUUGGGCGUAAAGCGUGCGCAGGCGGUUGUGUAAGACAGGUGUGAAAUCCCCGGGCUUAACCUGGGAACUGCGCUUGUGACUGCACAGCUAGAGUAUGGCAGAGGGGGGUGGAAUUCCACGUGUAGCAGUGAAAUGCGUAGAGAUGUGGAGGAACACCGAUGGCGAAGGCAGCCCCCCGGGCCAAUACUGACGCUCAUGCACGAAAGCGUGGGGAGCAAACAGGAUUAGAGACCCCAGUAGUCCCUGUCUCUUAUAC
Molecule: ribosomal RNA, 301 nt
Filed under: uncultured bacterium
Lineage: Bacteria
Description: partial 16S ribosomal RNA
Rfam family: Bacterial small subunit ribosomal RNA
Source: RNAcentral